Long non-coding RNA from Meriones unguiculatus (Mongolian gerbil), 2258 nucleotides. RefSeq lists it as uncharacterized. The transcript has 7 exons. The record is from RefSeq and is a predicted model, not a curated record. NCBI's taxonomy places the organism in Eukaryota, Metazoa, Chordata, Mammalia, Rodentia, Muridae.
GUUUGCUCAUCUGCUGUGCCUGAUUGAUCACAGUCUCGACUUCCGCCUAUGAGAACUGACUAUUGUGAUGGAGGAUACUGGCGUCUGGGUUAUGGAGUUAGAUUGGAGGAAUGGAGGCAUGUGUUGAACACGAAGUCAUAACCAUCAGUUCUUCAGUGGGAGGGAAUGAGGAGGAGACAGCUCUCUCCUGGCAGAGGUUUCUGUAGUCCUGGAGGGCAAGGAUGGCCCCACAUGCUGGCAGAAGCAGCUGGUUCCUUGCUGUGUACUGGGGAUGGACUUGGAGCACAAAGAAGGCCACAUGCAAUUGGCUCAUUGAUAAUAACAGUCUGAUGGAGAUGGAAAAGAUUUCGGACGUGAACUAAGCCGGUGUUCAUUGGUGAGCAACUUCCAGAGCCAUAAAUAAAAUCAACACCAUGUAAAAACGUAUUACUUGCUGGGAAGAUGUCUGCAGCAAGGUUGUCCGGCAAGUUUUUCCUCCCAGUGUAGGUGCUUCUUGAGUAAUCUGGUUUAUCUUGCUGUGAAAUACAAUGGCCGAAUAGAAUUCAUCUUAGAAAACAUACCAAAACCAGACUAAAAAGUGACAAAAAUAUUUACAGUGGAUGAGCACAUCAGCCAUGCAGUGUGACUCAGCAGCACAGUGAGUGGAGUGCUGUUUUGUUCUUGCAAUCCUUCUUGGCAAUGGAAGGCUGAAGGGGAGUGUCUUGGAAGAGGACCACCUGUGCUAUGGUUGAGCAAGAUGCUAUGGUGAUGGAUGGUGGAGCUGGAAGAUUUUACAAGUAGCCUCUCAGACUCUGAGGGAUGAAGCUCUUCUGUACAUUUGGCUGUUUCUGUAGCAUGUCCUGUCACCUAAGAGAGGGAUUGUGGAAUCUCACUGGUCUUCUAGCAGAUUGCUACCAGAGAUGCUGGGGCAUGCCCACUUCUUCCCUCCUCAGGCUGCUUGCCCUGAAGACAAGAGGCCCCUGUAGACUUUGCCUGGUAGAGUAACAUGAGUUGAUAAGCAACUAUACUAUGUGACCUUUCACUCUCCCUUUGAUGCCUUGCAUGACACACGGCAUUAAACUGUACCUUUUGAUGUACUCUCUUUUCCUCUUCCUGUGUGGGGGGAUUCUCCAGUCUUCUCAUUCCCCUAGAAGAUCACUUCAGAAUGUUCAUGUUUAACUUACUUAGAGAGAUAAACAAAUAUUGUGAUAAUGACAACGAACAAAUGGUAAGAACAGCAGAGGCUUAAAUACAAGAAUUAAUUAAGGAGGAUCAGCCAUCAGGCCCAGCUGCCUUGAGUAAUUCUGAAGCAUAACUUGAAAUGUUGAAGAUGUUUGAAGGGAGCCUUAAGUGGAGAAGCAAACAACCCAUGUCAUUACCAUGACAGCUUUGCGCUUGGUCAGUGGCAUCUCUUUCCUAUGGUAACUUGUGAUACAUCACCACCCAGUGAUGGAAAUAGAGAGUCAUGUGACCCAACAGAGCUAGUGGGAGCAUUCUCAAAACAUCAAGAAUCAAUGUAUUGGCUUAAGUUGACCAACUUGUAACUUGUAACUCAUUGUUAGGAUGUGUAGUUAUUAGGCUCAACUACUCAAACUUUUGUGUAAUAUCCCAAUUACACAAAUUUGGGUAUUAUCUGAUACCUGUGGGCCAGAGGAAGUGAGAGUUUUUGAGGAGAUGGUAGAGGUGUAGGAAUUAGAAUACAACCAGGUCUCCAACAAUGCUGAAAUGACUUCAUAUUUAUUUUCUUAGCAAAGAGAAAACGUUAUUCUGGGAGAAAUGGCUUGUUUUGAUAAUGUUUUCAGCGCAGUGCAAGAAUCAGAUAUGUGCAGUUUUCAACAAGUAAAAAUUAUGAGUGUCUGGAGAAACACAACAAAUGAUUUUGGCAUGAAUGUCACGCUGUCUAAAAUUUGACCCUAACUUUUGAUUCAGCCCAAAUGUAACUACAAGUAGGCGGCUGGUAGAAGUGAUGUAAUUAAGAAUUGGCACUAUUUUGCAUGUUGUCUGCAUGACAUUGUGGGAAGUACGUGGGAGCAGUGAGGGAGCCCUUUGCACCAAGACAUACAGAGGGUACUAGAAACGGGGCUGCUUACACGGGACAGGGUCACAUGGUGCUUAAGUGGCUACUCGCCACACGUGAGUCCACUACAGUAGCAACAGAAAGUGGCUUCGAAACCACUGAAGUUUCUAACUCGACUACCGUUAAUUUGGGGCAGUUUGGAUUUUAUUGCAUCUUUCCAUUUUUUUCUCUCGACUUUGGAUGGUACCAUGUAUGAUCUGAU